CCCCCCCCCCCCCCCCCCCCCCCGCGCGCCGCCCCUCCCGCCCCCCGCGCCGCGCCUCGCACCCCGCGCGCCGCUCCGGCACCGGCCCCGCUGGAAUUCCCCGCAGACAAUUGACUCGGCGACUCCUGGCAACUUGGGGGAGAGGGGAGGGAAGAAAAAGGAAAGCCCCACGCAUGAAGGCGCUGCCGGCCAGGCCGUGCCUCGCCUCGCCUCGCCGCUUCCCAUCCCUCUUCCCGGGACUGGGCCGGAAUCUCGGCAGCACCCGCUGCGCUGAGCACACGGGUACCCUGCACUGGGUUCCGUGGGAGCCACCCACGUGCGGGCUGCUGGGCUGUCCAAGUACACACAGAAUUGCCCCGUGACGGUGGAAAGCUUUACGGAGGUUCCUCCUGGCCCACUGUCCUGUUACCGUGGAUCUGUGGGUUAGCAAUGAGGUUCACAUUACUCUUCCAAGCUUAUGCCAAGGAAUUAUCUAUCUAUAUGUCCAGCCAAGGCAUGGGAAGUACGUGAGCUGGUCUGCAUUAAUAAAGGGCAUUGACGUGCACUGUGCUGCAAAGGAAAGCAAAUCCUCACGGGCCUGGGUGGGUUUUCGGCGGGAAGCCCAGGAAUUCAUAGAGCUGAACAGGAAGCACGUAGUCCAUAGUGGCAGUGGGCAGAAAAGCUGGCAAGGACAAAGAGGACACUGGCCUCUGAAACAACCCAGUGGCUGUUUCUGGUCUCCUGAGCGGUGUUCCACUGCAUUUCCAUGGAGGUACCAAAAGCGCUGCUGGCCGUGUCAGUGUCACACAUCGAGCACUCCCAUCCUAUGUAUGGGUGCAUAAAUCAUUCGACCGCUCCGAAGCAAUGGUGAGGUCAUCAGACGUCUUUUCCAACCUUAAUGACCCCGAGGCUGGCUCGGUUACAGCGUGGUGGCGAUAAGGAUUCUGUGAUUCCAAGCUGCGGAGAGAAUGUGACUGAGCAUGGCAGCGCCAGCACAGCUGCUCCAAGGAUGUGUUCCCGCUGCAUUCCCGCUGCCUCCGGCUGUCCCGGGGCACGUUGCGAGCAGCCACGCUGCUGUGCUCAGCCCCACGGCCACUGUCUCCUGCCCAGCGCUGAGGUGUCAGGUUCUACACCUCUGCACAAAUUGAAGAGUCACAUGAGACCUGAGUGGAUAAACCAAUUUUCUGCCAUUUGCAUGGAUUGGAGGAACAGUAGAGGGGAUGGUUUUCAAAGUAUCUGGCUCCCAGGAGUUACCUUUACAAAAGCCCUUGCCUCUGCAAUGCCUGAUGAUGAGUGUGGUCUAGAAGGCUAUGGAAGAGCAGAGUACCUUCAUAGGCGUUUACUAUUUCUCUGCUCCCCCCUGGACACAAUGACACUGGGAAAAGACAUGUAG
This 1372-nucleotide long non-coding RNA is filed under the name Ficedula albicollis (Collared flycatcher). RNAcentral's name for it is "lncRNA (ENSFALG00000027905.1)". The record is from RNAcentral. Lineage: Eukaryota; Metazoa; Chordata; Aves; Passeriformes; Muscicapidae.